GUGACCUCAAAUCAGGUAGGACUACCCGCUGAACUUAAGCAUAUCAAUAAGCGGAGGAAAAGAAACUAACAAGGAUUCCCCUAGUAACUGCGAGUGAAGCGGGAAAAGCUCAAAUUUAAAAUCUGGCAGUCUUUUGGCUGUCCGAGUUGUAAUCUAGAGAAGUGUUAUCCGCGCUGGACCAUGUACAAGUCUCCUGGAAUGGAGCAUCAUAGAGGGUGAGAAUCCCGUCUUUGACAUGGACUUCCAGGGCUUUGUGAUGCGCUCUCAAAGAGUCGAGUUGUUUGGGAAUGCAGCUCAAAAUGGGUGGUAAAUUCCAUCUAAAGCUAAAUAUUGGCGAGAGACCGAUAGCGAACAAGUACCGUGAGGGAAAGAUGAAAAGAACUUUGGAAAGAGAGUUAAACAGUACGUGAAAUUGCUGAAAGGGAAACGCUUGAAGUCAGUCGCGUCGUCCAGGGAUCAACCUUGCUUUUGCUUGGUGCACUUCCUGGUUUGAUGGGUCAGCAUCAAUUUUGACUAUUGGAAAAAGGUUAAGGGAAUGUGGCAUCUUUGGAUGUGUUUAUAGCCCUUGGUCACAUACAAUGGUUGGGAUUGAGGAACUCAGCACGCCGCAAGGCCGGGUUUAAACCACGUACGUGCUAGAU
RNAcentral lists this ribosomal RNA (641 nucleotides) under Cortinarius traganus. RNAcentral describes it as "eukaryotic LSU rRNA". It matches the Rfam family "Eukaryotic large subunit ribosomal RNA", at positions 1 to 624 of the family's 3401-position model. The record is from RNAcentral. Lineage: Eukaryota; Fungi; Basidiomycota; Agaricomycetes; Agaricales; Cortinariaceae.